AAAUACAACACAAAAAAAAACAUAAGAAAAAAUCUUUUCUUAUUUUUUAUUUUCUCUCCCAAAAAUACACAAAUGCAUAUGCAUAUUUUUUAAUCACACACACAUUAUAUUCUUCUUUCUCCCCUCUCUCAAGAAUAAACAAAUACACAUAAUUUUUUUCUCCUUUUUCUCUCUCUGAAACACACAAAAAACACACAUAUACACAUAAAAUAAAAUAAAUUUUUGCUC
Molecule: long non-coding RNA, 228 nt
Filed under: Capsicum annuum
Lineage: Eukaryota; Viridiplantae; Streptophyta; Magnoliopsida; Solanales; Solanaceae
Description: long non-coding RNA (CANN_LNC000608)
Source: RNAcentral